GAUCCCAGAGGUCAACAUCCGACAACGCGUUGCGUCCUCGGGUGCUAUGUUG
Non-coding RNA from Bartonella rochalimae ATCC BAA-1498, 52 nucleotides. The record is from Rfam. NCBI's taxonomy places the organism in Bacteria, Pseudomonadati, Pseudomonadota, Alphaproteobacteria, Hyphomicrobiales, Bartonellaceae.